This 252-nucleotide ribosomal RNA is filed under the name uncultured bacterium. Its description in RNAcentral is "partial 16S ribosomal RNA". It matches the Rfam family "Bacterial small subunit ribosomal RNA", at positions 524 to 776 of the family's 1533-position model. The record is from RNAcentral.
UACGUAGGUCCCGAGCGUUGUCCGGAUUUAUUGGGCGUAAAGCGAGCGCAGGUGGUUUAUUAAGUCUGGUGUAAAAGGCAGUGGCUCAACCAUUGUGUGCAUUGGAAACUGGUAGACUUGAGUGCAGGAGAGGAGAGUGGAAUUCCUAGUGUAGCGGUGAAAUGCGUAGAUAUUAGGAGGAACACCGGUGGCGAAAGCGGCUCUCUGGCCUGUAACUGACACUGAGGCUCGAAAGCGUGGGGAGCAAACAGG